GACGAAGGGGGCUAGCGUUGUUCGGAAUUACUGGGCGUAAAGCGAGUGUAGGUGGUUGUCCAAGUUGGAUGUGAAAGCCUUGAGCUCAACUCAAGAAAUGCAUUCAGGACUGGGCGACUAGAGGACCGGAGAGGAUAGUGGAAUUCCCAGUGUAGUGGUGAAAUACGUAGAGAUUGGGAAGAACACCAGUGGCGAAGGCGGCUAUCUGGACGGUUUCUGACACUAAGACUCGAAAGCGUGGGGAGCAAACGGG
This 253-nucleotide ribosomal RNA is filed under the name uncultured bacterium. RNAcentral describes it as "partial 16S ribosomal RNA". It matches the Rfam family "Bacterial small subunit ribosomal RNA", at positions 524 to 776 of the family's 1533-position model. The record is from RNAcentral.